Portunus trituberculatus (swimming crab) is the source of this 1130-nucleotide long non-coding RNA. RefSeq lists it as uncharacterized. The record is from RefSeq and is a predicted model, not a curated record. Lineage: Eukaryota; Metazoa; Arthropoda; Malacostraca; Decapoda; Portunidae. The transcript is spliced from 4 exons.
CAUAUCCAGUUGAAGAACAAUAAACAAUGCGGGCCUGACAGCUGGAGAGUAUUACGAUUUCCGAUCUCAUUAUUAUAUUAUCCAUGUAUAAUUUGUGAUUAUUUUUGUAUUCGCGCGUGUGUGUGUGUUUGUAUGAUUUUUAUAAGAGUUCAAUGUCAUUGGUAAGCAGUUGAGUGUGGGCCACGGAUACCAUUUGUCAUUUUCAAUGCGCAAUUCUCUGUGCUGUGAUUCCCUAUCUCAAUACGGACUAUAUUUCCUGUGUGUAAUUCGUGAUCAUUAUUAUUGUAUUUGCGUGUGUGUAUAUACAUAUGUCCAUGAUUUCUAAGCAUUUAAUGUCAUUGGUAAGGAGUUGGGUGUGAGCCACGCAAGCCGUUUGUCAUUUGUCAUGCGCAAUAUUCUCUGGGCACCUGUUAGUUCCACGUCAGGUUCGAGCCUCGAGGCGAGCUAAGAGACAACGUGGUGAAAGGAGAGCGACCUAAGGAAUGAUUCUAAUCGUCACAGCCUCACAGGUCCAAAGAAGAAGCAGCUUCUUUUGGAGAGAGUGACAGUGGCCACGUUACCAUGGAUCUUGUACUUGUCUAACGGCUCCACUGGCGACGGCGAGCCUUGGUUUCGGGGAAAGAUAGCAGUACUGAGGGUGGUCAACGUCCUUGGAGGGCACGCGACCAUGUUGGGUGUCCUCCCUCGUCCAUAUUAAUUAUAUUCUCUUCCCAGUAACUGCCUGCCCUGCCAUGGUUGGAUGGUGUGGUGCUGCCGAUGUUGAUCUGAUUUCCUUGGUAGACACUGACAUCCCUCAGACAGCCAGAAGUGCUGCCAGGUUGGUGAGAAAGGAGGGUGUAGGGGUGAGACCUUCCUCCUGCAUUGAGGUCCACAGGGAUAGCCCCUUCUCGCCCUCACUCUUCACGUCUGCACCAAAGAUUAGAGGCUGGAGCACUUAAGUCUGAUUACUGUGAUCCAAAUUGCAGUACCUCUCAGAAUGUUUAAAGAAGUAAAACUUACGGUAGAUAUUGAGGAGGCAUUCGUACAUCGCCUGGCGGUCAGCAUUGGGCAUUCCCCGUGAGGCAGUGAGCAGGUGCAACACAGCUUCUUCAUUCUCUGUCUUGACAUAAUACUGCAGCUGUCGAGUCAGC